Molecule: small nuclear RNA, 106 nt
Filed under: Spermophilus dauricus (Daurian ground squirrel)
Lineage: Eukaryota; Metazoa; Chordata; Mammalia; Rodentia; Sciuridae
Source: RNAcentral
GGGCUCAGUUCGUCAGCACAUACGAUAAAACUGGAACAAUACGGAGAAGAUUAGCCUGGCCCCUGUCCGAGGAUGACCAAAGUGUCUUUAGUCCAUUCAAGCAGGU